CAUUAUAUAAAUGUACUGUUGUAAUCUAAUUUGUUUUUUUUUUCCUUUUAGCAUGGCAAGGGAAAAUCCGAAUGUCAAAGUGUAAGGGGAAGCGAGCAUGUUUCAAGAUACCUGGGAUUACAGAGCUAGAAGAGACCAACAUCUAUCUUUCAACUUCUUUCUUGUGUCAUUGGAUUACCUACCAGAUCCCUGUGGAUAAAUUUUUGCUAUCCAAAGCCCUGAUCAGAGAAGAAGAUGUGCAUUAUGAUUCCUCAGCUCCUGAUGACUCAAGCAAUGGCUGCUUGCCGCCCAAAUCAUGCACGAAUGUACAUGCCCUGCUAAACUUAUUGGUAGGAUCUUCUCCCCAGCUGUGUGGAUGUUUGGAGCGGAUUUUUUAAUGUGAAUCCCUGUAAAAUAUCCGGACUACAGAGAGCCAUGGCCACCACAAACCCUCUGGAGAACCUCCAGGUGGAAGCCAGCUGCUCCGUCUGCCUGGAGUACCUGAAGGACCCUGUGAUCAUUGACUGUGGUCACAACUUCUGCCGGGUAUGCAUCACCCGUUGGUGGGAGGACUUGAACCGGGACUUCCCCUGCCCCGUUUGCCGCAAGACUUUCCGCCACCGCACUCUGAAGCCGAACCGGCAGCUGGGCAACAUGGUAGAGAUAGCCAAACAGCUGCAGGUCACAAACAAGCGCAAGGUGCGGGACGAGAACUUGUGUGAGAAGCACAACGAGGUGCUCCGCCUCUUCUGCAAGGAGGACCAGGAGGCUGUUUGCUUAGUGUGCGAGAUCUCCCACGAACACCGCUCCCACACGGUUGUGUCCCUGGAUGACGCCUCCCAGGAAUACAAGGAAAAGAUGCAGAAGUGCCUGGAGCCCCUGGAACGGAAGCUGCAGGAGAUCGCCCACUGCAAAUCCCAGGAGGAGAAGAAGCCUGGGGAGCUCAAGCGGAAAGUGGAGGACCGCCGCCAGCUCAUCAUCAGUGAGUUUGAGGAGCUGCAUCUCUUCCUGGCGGAGGAGCAGGAAGUGCUUAUGCGGCGCCUGGAGAAUGAGGAGAAGGAGAUCCUGCAGAAGCUAAAGGAUAACGUGGCCGAGCUGUCCGAGCAACGGGUCGCCCUCAACAGCCUCACCAUUGAGAUUGAAGAGAAGUGCCUGCAGUCAGGCAUGGAGAUGCUCAAGGAUGUGAAGAACACUCUUGAAAGAUGUGAAAAGCUACAGGCCCAGGAACCGAGUUUGGUCUCUAUUGAGCUGGAAAAGAAUUUCUGCAACUUUCCCAGGCAGUACUAUGUCCUGCGUAAAAUCAUUAAGAGGCUAACGGGGGAUUUGACCCUUGACCCCGAGACGGCGCACCCCAACCUCGUGCUCUCCGAGGACCGCAAGAGUGUCAAGUUUGUGGAGCAGCGCUUGCGAGACCUGUCCGACAGCCCGAGGCGUUUCACCAUCUACCCUUGUGUUUUGGCCACGGAAGGCUUCACUUCGGGCCGCCACUACUGGGAGGUGGAAGUGGGCGAGAAGACCCACUGGGCCCUGGGGGUUUGCAAUGACUCCGUCAGCCGUAAGGGAGAGACGACCUCCCUGCCCGAGACUGGCUAUUGGCGGGUGAGGCUGUUUAACGGGGACAAGUACGCGGCCACCACCACCCCCUUCACCCCGCUCACCGUGGCCACCAAGCCCAAGCGAGUGGGCGUCUUCCUGGACUACGAGGCCGGCAAGCUUUCCUUCUACAAUGUGACGGACCGCUCCCACAUCUACACUUUUACCGACACUUUCACUGAGAAGCUUUGGCCUUUUUUCUACCCAGGGAUCCGUGCUGGCCGCAAGAAUGCUGCCCCCCUUAUCCUCCGGCCUCCCACGGACUGGGAGUGACAGAACGACCAAGUCCCCCCCCCCCCACUAGGAUUAGCCCUCAAAUGCGUAGGGGGAGUUUUAAUAUCCUAGCUUCUCAAGGCAGGGGAGGGGGAAGAAGCUGGGAACAGUAACCUGGGGUCCAAGCACACCAUCGUCCCCAGCCAGGAAACCAACACGUCCCCAGGAGGAAGAGGGCAGAGGCUUUCAGCUGACACCAAGGCCGAACACAGAAGUGUUCCGUUGGCAGGCUUCAUGUUUUUAUUCAAGGCGUGUCACCCUUGGGCAGGAAAGGAGAAGUCCUCGUGGCAGCGCAGAAGGAGCGGGCCAGGCUUGUGAGGAAGGGCGAAGACGUUUCCUUCUGCAAUCCCAAACCUCUGAUGUGGGGCGGGACUGGGGGGGUCGAGCUGAGGCGACGGCAGUUCAACCUAGAUUGGUUGUUUGGCCAAAAGCAUGAGCGUUUGCGUGAGCUGUGGGGCAGAGCCGGUCAGAAGCGUGUGUGAGGGGGGUCAGCUCUGUGCGCUGUUGAACAUGCUCUGUGGGCAGUAGCGGCCUCUGUGUGAAGAGGUUAGAGUGGAUCCUUCAUUCUUGCAUGCACAAAUCAUGAAAAACCCUCUGUCCUCUUCCCUACAACUUGUUUUUGCUGCCUGCUAGGUGAUACGCAGACUACAACCUCGUGCCAGCGUAGUCGAGUGUUGUAGUGCAUGAGCAAGAGCAAUUAAAGGAGGCCAGGCACAGAUUUUCUCCUCCGAGGCAACCCCCACUGCUCAUCCAGGGGAGGCUGCUUCUGUGAGCUGAGAAGCCCUCGUCACUGACUGGAGGUUGCGAUACCAACUGGCAGGUCUGGCUGGGCUACCAAGAUGAGAAAACUCUGAAACGGGAAGAGUGGUCUGAUUGUGCCCUGAGACAAUCUGGCGGGGAGGCCUGAAAGCAUCCAUGAUUGUCUCUUAAGGGCCGAUGCACACUACCUCCCGGGUCAUUACGGGCAGGCUGCUAUUUUUCGCUUUUGCCCAUGAUCAUUGCCUGCGUGUGUGAAGUCACCCGAACCCAGACCUACAUCACAGUAGCCUGUGAUUGUCAGUUGAACAGUUUGUAUUGUGACCUCUUUGCCCCGGGGGGUGGGGGGGCGCAGUGAGACAAAUGCCUCGUGACAUUUCAUAAAAAGGGGUGGGGAGCCAUGCAGGGAAGUCAAAUGCGUUGGCCUUGAGUGGAGUUUGAAUGUCUUCCAGUAGUUCCCUUCCAUCAAGGCAAAGCCCUUUUCCUGACCUCUUUAUUCAGAAGCUCAGCUCUGUAGGGUGUUGGCAAGUGGAGAGGAGCCCAAAUGUAGGUGAUAAGAUGCUUUUCCUGUAAAAAUCCCUCCCCCCCCCCAAAAAAAGCCCCUCAAAGACACACUCCCCCUUUCACAAUUGUUGAGGAAGGCUGGUUUAGGGAGAGACAGCAAAAUGGGCGAAAUACGUUUGCCCAUUUGGAGUGUGGGCAAAUGGGAUUGGCAACAUAAUGUUACGACAUCAUCCCACUAUCCACGUGAUCCUUCGGAGGAAACGCAUUUGUGUUUUGUUUUGUGUUUUGGUUUUUUGAAGGGGAAAAUGGAGCUGAGGCCCCAGAUCAAUAAAAGAAGCAGCUGUGAGUGUAUGGCCCAAAAACGGUAACUGAAGGGGUGUGUGCGUAACUGGGUUGAGACUACAUGUUGUGGCUUAUUUAAGCCAUGCCGAACAGCAGUUCCCACAAGCAAUAUUCAAGCCCCAACCGUGGGUUGAGUUGUGUGAACCCAGCAGGUGGGGGGUAUAUAGCCCUGGAACUUGUUUAGCCUUGCAUAAGGCCAGGUUCAAAGGACAUGACAACCCAGGAUCAGGGAUUGAAUAUUCAGGAUGGCACCCACUGGGUUGUGCGAACAACCCCCAUGUGUUGUGUAUGUAAUUUGAUCUUUUUUUUUUUUGCCUUGGUUUACCAGACUCCUUUAAUUAAAAUGCCAGUUCGGGUACAAAGAUCUGCCCUACAGUUCGUUUGGGUUUUUUUAUUGUGCUUUACAAAACACAAUAUCAUACCACCCUCUCCUUCCACCUUUAGAUCGAGUUAGAAGGUACAUAAAUACAGAAUCCCUCAGGAAACAUAUUCAUAUUUUGAAAACAAACAAUAUCAAAUUGUUUACAACCACCAUAAUGAUUUAUAAUGUACAGGUACCGUCCGGCCAUGUUCUGCCAUAUUAGUAUAUUCAGUAAACAGUAACCAAACAGCCACAUACUUUCAUUGACUUCUCAUGACCUGUAAUUUAUAUGACCAUUUUUCCAUUAUUGCGGUCUUCCAUGUCAAUGUAUACCACUCAUUCAAGUCUAAAUUUGAAAUCCUUCCAACACAAUUCUACUACUGUCCUGGCAUCAAACAAAAGAUGUGAGAUUAGCUCCUUAAGCUGCAAAUUCAUAUUUACUUCGACAAAUAAGUUCAAUACGCAUAGUUCCAAAUCCAUAUGUACUUCAAUUUUUAUGAUCUGGGUAAUCUCAGAAAACUGCAGUCCUGAAUUUUUGAGUCUCGGCACAUUCCCACCACAUGCUGGUACAUGUCAACCACUUGGUAUCCCCGCCAGCACAUACGAUACUAAUCCUGUAAUAAUUUCAGAGACGUUUCUCUUGUGUUAGCAGAUACAGAUUUAAAUGGUGGUCCCACCCACAUGUUAGUCCAAACUGUCGCCAAUAGAGGUGCCUUCAUUCGCCUCCCACCAGCAUUUAGGACUAUCGAAAGACUGCAGUCGAUAUCCCAGGAACCAUGUAAUACCAGAGUUAGCUACUUGUUUGAUUUCGAGUGAGGAAAGAGUGAUAUUUCGGAAAAAAACAGUUUAUCCCUCCAUCCUUUAAAACCACCUUUGUCUGCAUCUUUCAGAAAGACUGGAUAAAAGCAAAGGGUCAACAAUGGUGAGGCCCCUGCGUGAAGAACUGCAGACCUCCUAACCCAUAUAUUAAUCAUGGAAUAUGUGAACCUAUUCGAAAUCCUAAGUUUAUGCUUCAUAAAUGGAGUAACUGUCAAGGGAACUCCAUCUACUUUAUCCAAUGGGCAGAAAAAUCCCUGCUCAGGACCCUUUCAAUCCCUCUAGAGCAGCCUUCUCUAACCUGGAUGUGCUGGGGAUGAUUGGAGCUGUAAUCAAAAACAUCUAGAGGGCAACAGGUUGGGGUUUGUUGCUCUAGGGAUUUCAAUUUCCAGCUUGUCCUCAGAUUAGUUAUUGGCUUAACAAACUCUUCCCAGCAUUGUCCUUGUGGCCCUCAUUUGAGUUCUUUUGACUGACCGGGAAAGGAGAAUUAGUCAGGCCUAUUAGGUGGCCUUCCAAUGGUAAUGUCUGCUAUUGCACGAUUGCUUUGUGUAAAUGUGUGUAUGUUUGUUUGUGUGUCUGUGUGUAUGUGUGUCUAUACCAUUGAAGGUGCUCUGGUUUGGGUACUUUGAGCCCUUGAAUAUGGGCUGGCUGUCAGUCCUUUGGCAACCCACAGCUUUAGUGCAAGAUACUUGUGUUAUGGCUUGUUAAGUUAAUUAAUAAAAUCUCCUGUUUUAAUUGACAA
Molecule: RNA transcript, 5366 nt
Organism: Elgaria multicarinata webbii
Lineage: Eukaryota; Metazoa; Chordata; Lepidosauria; Squamata; Anguidae
Gene name: E3 ubiquitin-protein ligase TRIM39-like
Exons: 9
Source: RefSeq, a predicted model, not a curated record